RNAcentral lists this ribosomal RNA (408 nucleotides) under Pardosa milvina. RNAcentral's name for it is "partial 16S ribosomal RNA". Lineage: Eukaryota; Metazoa; Arthropoda; Arachnida; Araneae; Lycosidae. The record is from RNAcentral.
AAUAGGUUAAAUAGCCGCUUUUGUGCUAAGGUAGCAUAAUAAUUUGUCUUUUAAUUAAAGACUAGAACAAAAGGUUUAACAUCUCAAUUAAUGUUUCAUAAAAAAAUAUUUAAAUUAUUUUAAUUGUAAAAAAACAAUUUUAAAAAAGAAAGACGAUAAGACCCUAUCGAACUUUACUUUAGUUUAACUGGGGUAGUUAAUUAAUUAUUAUUUUAAUAUAAUUAAAUAUUUAAUUUGACCUAAUAUUAUUAAUAAAAUAAUUAAGUUACCGUAGGGAUAACAGCGUAAUAAAAUUUUUAAGACCUUAUUUAAAAUAAAGAUUGCGACCUCGAUGUUGAUUUAAUAACCUAAUUUACGCAAUAGUUCAUUAAGGAAGUCUGUUCGACUUUUAAAAAAUUACAUGAUUUG